ACGGCUCAGUAACACGUGGACAACGUGCCCUUAAGUGGAGGAUAACCUCGGGAAAUUGAGGAUAAUACUCCAUAGAUCAUGGAAUCUGGAACGAUUCAUGGUUCAAAGUUCCGGCGCUUAAGGAUCGGUCUGCGGCCUAUCAGGUAGUAGUGGGUGUAACGUACCUACUAGCCUAUGACGGGUAUGGGCCUUGAGAGAGGGAGCCCAGAGUUGGAUUCUGAGACACGAAUCCAGGCCCUACGGGGCGCAGCAGUCGCGAAAACUUCACAAUGGGCGCAAGCCCGAUGAGGGAACUCCUAGUGCUAGCACUUUUGUGUUAGCUUUUCUUUAGCGUAGAUAACUAAAGGAAUAAGGACUGGGUAAGACGGGUGCCAGCAGCCGCGGUAAUAC
RNAcentral lists this ribosomal RNA (390 nucleotides) under uncultured archaeon. RNAcentral's name for it is "bacterial SSU rRNA". It matches the Rfam family "Archaeal small subunit ribosomal RNA", at positions 85 to 476 of the family's 1478-position model. The record is from RNAcentral.